RNAcentral lists this long non-coding RNA (331 nucleotides) under Mytilus galloprovincialis (Mediterranean mussel). Lineage: Eukaryota; Metazoa; Mollusca; Bivalvia; Mytilida; Mytilidae. The record is from RNAcentral.
CCAAGAAAUAGUAUCAAACAAGAAUGUGUCCUCAGUACACGAAUGCCCCACUCGCACUAUCAUUUUUCUAUGUUCAGUGGACCGUGAAAUUGGGGUAAAAUCUCUAAUUUGGCAUUAAAAUUAGAAAGAUCAUAUCAUAGGGAACAUGUGUACCAAGUUUGAAGUCGAUUGGACUUCAACUUCAUCAAAAACUACCUCGACCAAAAACUUUAACCUGAAGCGGGACAGACGGACGAACGGACGAACGGACGAACGAACGGACGGACGAACGGACGCACAGACCAGAAAACAUAAUGCCCCUCUACUAUCGUAGGUGGGGCAUAAAAAGCUU